Molecule: ribosomal RNA, 465 nt
Filed under: uncultured bacterium
Lineage: Bacteria
Description: partial 16S ribosomal RNA
Rfam family: Bacterial small subunit ribosomal RNA
Source: RNAcentral
CCUACGGGUGGCAGCAGUGGGGAAUAUUGCGCAAUGGGCGAAAGCCUGACGCAGCGACGCCGCGUGAGGGAUGAAGGUCUUCGGAUCGUAAACCUCUGUCAGCAGGGAAGAACGGUCACUGUGCUAAUCAGCAGUGAAUUGACGGUACCUGCAAAGGAAGCACCGGCUAACUCCGUGCCAGCAGCCGGGGUAAUACGGAGGGUGCGAGCGUUAAUCGGAAUUACUGGGCGUAAAGCGCUCGUAGGAGGUAUGUCAAGUCAAGGGUGAAAUCCCCGCGCUCAACGUGGGAACUGCCUUUGAAACGGGCAAACUGGAGUGUGGGAGAGGAUAGUGGAAUUCCAGGUGUAGGAGUGAAAUGCGUAGAUAUCAGGAGGAACAUCAGUGGCGAAGGCGACUAUCUGGCACAUAACUGACGCUGAGGAGCGAAAGCGUGGGUAGCAAACAGGAUUAGAUACCCGAGUAGUC